Molecule: long non-coding RNA, 1503 nt
Filed under: Salmo trutta (river trout)
Lineage: Eukaryota; Metazoa; Chordata; Actinopteri; Salmoniformes; Salmonidae
Description: lncRNA (ENSSTUG00000015878.1)
Source: RNAcentral
UACUUAUUCAGCCCGUCUCUCUCCACCCCUCCUCUCUCUGUGUCCCUACUGAAAAGCCGUGAAAUUCCUGAAGGUUUACGCUUUUGUUUCGAUUGUUUUGGCGCAAGAAUUCGUGGAUUUCUUGGAGAUGCUCGGCUACUAACCAGCUAUAACAUUAGGCUACUAAAGUACAUUUGCCACUGGUUGUAACUUCAAAGCCGCGUAAACAAGCUUCCCAUAAUCUUGCAGUUCAACACCCUUCUCCCGUUACAGUGAGCGAGAAGUUGAGAUAAAGGAACGGGGAAUGAAAAAAAGUGUGGAAACUCAGGAAGAAGGAGGGGGAGAAGGAAGGAGAAUAAAGGGAAACUAGGAAGAGUUUUCGCUCAAGGAAGCGAGAGAAAGUUAUGUGGACACAAGAAUCCUCUCCCCCGUUUUGACAGCGCAAGAAGCUGUGAUUUCUACUCCCCUGGGAAAUUGAGCGGAGUGAAGUCUACCCACGCUGGCACUCUCUGCCACUGACACAAGAGAUGGAGGGAGAGAAGGAGAAAGAGAGGGAGCGGGGAGAGGAGAAAGAGAGCGACGAGACGGAGGAAGAGGAGAAACAGAGCGACGAGGCUGAAGAGGAAGAUGAUGAUGCGGAAGGAGCGGCGUUGGUGUGGCAGGAGGGGUCCUACGGAGAGGAUGACCUGGGCCUACCCAUAAUGCAUUGGGAGGCGCUGAGCCUGCGCAUCGCAGAGCUGGAGAAACAGGAAGAGGAAAAGAGAGAGAAGAAAACAAAGUCUUCCAGUGUCCUGGAACGAGGUAAGAAAUUGUCAGCAAGCCGGCCGGAGGAGAGAGAGAGAGGGAAGACGCUGUCCAUGAACCGGCCAGGAGACAGGGAGCAAGGGAAGAGUAAGGAGAGCUGGGAGGACGGAGGCGAGGAGGACUGCAAUAGCCGCGUGACAGCCCUAACUUCUCGUCUUUCGAAUCAGAUGAACCUCCAGCUGUGCUUCAUCAAUGACAGCGGAAGCGAAGAAGAGGAUGAGGAUACUGGCAAAAAAGUUAGCGUGAAGAAUUCCAAAAUGGUUGGUAAGAGCAGUCCCAGUGGGCAGGUGUGCCAGCAGCCAAAGUUCCCUGCCCCCCCUGCAGCCAAGAGCAAAUCAUCAGGCUUCAAGGCUGCGCUGAGCGCACUCAGAAACAAGCUGAGGACUGAGCAGAAACAGGAGAGCCCAGCUUGUUGUAAUCAGCUGUUGAAGAAUAGAAGACUGGACCGUAGUGACCUGCAAGCCUUCAGUCUCAAAGAGCUCAACGUCCACCAAAACUCUCUCAACAAGGCUAUACAAGACCUUAGCACAGAGCUGGUGGUUCAUCUACAGACUCGGGACCAGCUGAGGACAGAACAGGAUGCUAUGCUGCUGGAGGUAAACAGAAUUUGAAUUGUGAAGACAACAUAAGUUUUCCUGGGAAUUGGAUAAUCAGAAAUCAAACAGAGGCAACCUGAAGCAACAGUGGAAUGGGAAGAUGAGACAUAAUCUCAACUGACAC